Molecule: RNase P RNA, 371 nt
Filed under: Chromatium okenii
Lineage: Bacteria; Pseudomonadati; Pseudomonadota; Gammaproteobacteria; Chromatiales; Chromatiaceae
Description: Bacterial RNase P class A
Rfam family: Bacterial RNase P class A
About the family: Ribonuclease P (RNase P) is a ubiquitous endoribonuclease, found in archaea, bacteria and eukarya as well as chloroplasts and mitochondria.
Source: Rfam by way of RNAcentral
AGAGUUGACUAGGCAGUCGCGCUUUCAAUCAAUAGAAAGUGAGGAAAGUCCGGGCUUCAUAGGGCAGGGUGCCAGGUAACGCCUGGGGGACGCGAGUCUACGGCUAGUGCCACAGAAAAUAAACCGCCGAUUUCGCGUAAGUUGCGGAAGGUAAGGGUGAAAUGGUGCGGUAAGAGCGCACCGCGCCAUUGGUAACAAUGGUGGCAGGGUAAACCCCACUCGAAGCAAAACCAAAUAGGGAAACAGGCAGCUUUUGCUGCAUCGCAUGGCCCAUGCGAGUUUCCGGGUAGGUUGCUUGAGGUGUGCGGCGACGUACAUCCUAGAUGAAUGACUGCUCACGACAGAACCCGGCUUAUCGGUCAACUCUCAAU